AAUACCGGAUAGUUCCUUGAACCGCAUGGUUCAAGGAUGAAAGACGGUUUCGGCUGUCACUUACAGAUGGACCCGCGGCGCAUUAGCUAGUUGGUGAGGUAACGGCUCACCAAGGCGACGAUGCGUAGCCGACCUGAGAGGGUGAUCGGCCACACUGGGACUGAGACACGGCCCAGACUCCUACGGGAGGCAGCAGUAGGGAAUCUUCCGCAAUGGACGAAAGUCUGACGGAGCAACGCCGCGUGAGUGAUGAAGGUUUUCGGAUCGUAAAGCUCUGUUGUUAGGGAAGAACAAGUGCAAGAGUAACUGCUUGCACCUUGACGGUACCUAACCAGAAAGCCACGGCUAACUACGUGCCAGCAGCCGCGGUAAUACGUAGGUGGCAAGCGUUGUCCGGAAUUAUUGGGCGUAAAGGGCUCGCAGGCGGUUUCUUAAGUCUGAUGUGAAAGCCCCCGGCUCAACCGGGGAGGGUCAUUGGAAACUGGGAAACUUGAGUGCAGAAGAGGAGAGUGGAAUUCCACGUGUAGCGGUGAAAUGCGUAGAGAUGUGGAGGAACACCAGUGGCGAAGGCGACUCUCUGGUCUGUAACUGACGCUGAGGAGCGAAAGCGUGGGGAGCGAACAGGAUUAGAUACCCUGGUAGUCCACGCCGUAAACGAUGAGUGCUAAGUGUUAGGGGGUUUCCGCCCCUUAGUGCUGCAGCUAACGCAUUAAGCACUCCGCCUGGGGAGUACGGUCGCAAGACUGAAACUCAAAGGAAUUGACGGGGGCCCGCACAAGCGGUGGAGCAUGUGGUUUAAUUCGAAGCAACGCGAAGAACCUUACCAGGUCUUGACAUCCUCUGACAACCCUAGAGAUAGGGCUUUCCCUUCGGGGACAGAGUGACAGGUGGUGCAUGGUUGUCGUCAGCUCGUGUCGUGAGAUGUUGGGUUAAGUCCCGCAACGAGCGCAACCCUUGAUCUUAGUUGCCAGCAUUCAGUUGGGCACUCUAAGGUGACUGCCGGUGACAAACCGGAGGAAGGUGGGGAUGACGUCAAAUCAUCAUGCCCCUUAUGACCUGGGCUACACACGUGCUACAAUGGACAGAACAAAGGGCUGCGAGACCGCAAGGUUUAGCCAAUCCCACAAAUCUGUUCUCAGUUCGGAUCGCAGUCUGCAACUCGACUGCGUGAAGCUGGAAUCGCUAGUAAUCGCGGAUCAGCAUGCCC
RNAcentral lists this ribosomal RNA (1207 nucleotides) under Bacillus aerius. RNAcentral describes it as "bacterial SSU rRNA". It matches the Rfam family "Bacterial small subunit ribosomal RNA", at positions 165 to 1359 of the family's 1533-position model. Lineage: Bacteria; Bacillati; Bacillota; Bacilli; Caryophanales; Bacillaceae. The record is from RNAcentral.